This 1525-nucleotide long non-coding RNA is filed under the name Theobroma cacao (cacao). RNAcentral's name for it is "long non-coding RNA (TCAC_LNC006147)". The record is from RNAcentral. Lineage: Eukaryota; Viridiplantae; Streptophyta; Magnoliopsida; Malvales; Malvaceae.
CCGGCCAAAGCAAGAACAAAGGAAGAAAAGGAAGAACAAAAACCCUAGAGUGAAAAUUCAAGAGAAAAUUGGUGGAUUUCAAGUAAUCAAGCAAUCAAAGGUAAAAUUUCUUGAUUUUGACUUGUGAUCUACCUUUCCCAUACAUUCUUUUGCAUUUUCCAUGGUUGAAUCACAUGAUUUCAUGAUGGGUCUCUUGCUGGCCGAACACUUAGAGAGAGAUUUUGAUGCUUGAUUUGGUUAGAUUUCAAUGUAUUUUAGUGUUUUUAGUUAGUUAGUGAUGUGUAGCAUGAAAAGCCAACAAGAAAAAUUCAAUUUCUCCCAUCACCCAUCAUUGGCCGAAUCUUCCAUGUAGAGUGUGGAUGGUGGAUUUGAUUUUAUUUCAAGUGAAUUGGUUAGGAAAUGAUGAAUUAUGGUGAGAAAAUCAAGUAGGAAAAAUCAUAUUGUUGAUGCACCCACCAUGGUCGAAAUUCCCAAGAGAAAAUGUGAAGAUGAUUUUGCUAAAUUUUAUGCUAUUUGACUUGUGUUUGAUGGUUUGGAGAAUUGGAAGAAAAGUGGAGCUAAUUGGAGUUGAAUUGGACAUAUUGGCCAAUUAAUCGAGUGAUAGAUCGAAUUAGGCCAAUACCAUUUUAUUUAGGUACACAAUUGAAUUUGUGUAGAACACCGUGUUUAGACGAUAAUCCGAACAAUUUGCAUUCCAUUUCAUGCAUCCAUAUAGUUUUAUAACGGUUUAGCACCAAUGUGGUAAAUUGCUUGAUUGUGCAUUAUGUCUAGAUGGUGAAUCCUCCAAUAAGGGCAAAGAAAUUGUAUCCGAGGAUUGAUAGUCGGAGUACCCUAAAAAUUCGACUCCCGAAAUAGUGAGUAACCUUAUCAUCAUUUUAAUUAUCUAAAGUGGUUUCUUUAUUCGAUAUUGUGAAUUUUAUGGAAAAUGAGUUUAAAUGGUUAAUUUUUAGGUUUUAUAAACAAAAUGUGUUUAAAUGAAAUGAUUUUAUAAAUUGUCUUGAAAUUGAAUGAUGGUUUUGAAAAUAGAGUAAUUGGAGACCAUUUGAUGUAUUGUGAAUUUAUGGUUCUAAUUGAUUGGCUUAUGGCAAUAUUGGCAUGAAUAGUUGAAUUGGUAAAUGUGUUGAAAAUGUAUGAACUAUUGAUUUUCCUUGAGAGGCUGUACAAUAAAAUAAUUGCCAUGUCAUGCUAUCGCAAAUUUUAUUGUAUGGUGGGUUUAGCUUGCUGCAGUGGGCGGGUUCUGUGGACCAACCUAUUAGAGGGGCACGAAAUUCUGUUAUAUACGUACCUUGGUCGAAGAGGUGCAUGGAGUAACUCUUGAGGUAUGGUUAGAGUUCACGUCACGCUGAACCACCUCAUGAUGAUGAACUCCACUAAUGCCAAGGAACGACUGUGUUUUUCAAACUAAAAAUAUGUUUUAUGCACACAAGACUUUUUAAAAGCCUUGGCGGACUCGGUUAGAUGCCUCAGCCAAGGUAUUUUCGAGAAUGAUUUUAGGCAGGAGUCAAGCUUUUAAGAUACUCAUAAG